GAUGAAGAACGUAGCGAAAUGCGAUAAGUAAUGUGAAUUGCAGAAUUCAGUGAAUCAUCGAAUCUUUGAACGCACAUUGCGCCCGGCAGUACUCUGCCGGGCAUGCCUGUUCGAGCGUCAUUCCAACCCUCAAGCCCUGCUUGGUGUUGGGGCCCCACGGCUGCCGUGGGCCCUGAAAGGAAGUGGCGGGCUCGCUACAACUCCGAGCGUAGUAAUUCAUUAUCUCGCUUAGGGCGUUGGGCGGCGCUCCAGCCGUUAAAGAACCAUCUUUAACUCAAGGUUGACCUCGGAUCAGGUAGGAAUACCCGCUGAACUUAAGCAUAUCAAUAAGCGGAGGA
Molecule: unclassified non-coding RNA, 338 nt
Filed under: soil metagenome
Description: partial contains 5.8S ribosomal RNA, internal transcribed spacer 2, and large subunit ribosomal RNA
Rfam family: 5.8S ribosomal RNA (bases 1-120)
Source: RNAcentral